RNAcentral lists this ribosomal RNA (421 nucleotides) under uncultured bacterium. Its description in RNAcentral is "bacterial SSU rRNA". It matches the Rfam family "Bacterial small subunit ribosomal RNA", at positions 356 to 773 of the family's 1533-position model. The record is from RNAcentral.
AAGGAAUAUUGGACAAUGGGCGGAAGCCUGAUCCAGCCAUGCCGCGUGAAGGAUGAAGGCGCUCAGCGUUGUAAACUUCUUUUGGAUGGGGACAAUAAUCUCGAUUUAUCGGGACUUGUGGGUACCAUCAGAAUAAGCACCGGCUAACUCCGUGCCAGCAGCCGCGGUAAUACGGAGGGUGCAAGCGUUAUCCGGAAUCACUGGGUUUAAAGGGUGCGUAGGCUGUUAGAUAAGUCAGUUGUGAAAUUCCCCGGCUUAACCGGGUGAACUGCGAUUGAUACUGUUUAACUUGAAUGAGGUUGAGGUAGGCGGAAUGUGGCAUGUAGCGGUGAAAUGCUUAGAUAUGCCAUAGAACACCGAUUGCGAAGGCAGCUUGCUGGGCCUUCAUUGACGCUGAGGCACGAAAGCGUGGGGAGCAAAC